AUCUUUACAAGUACAUUUUCAGUGAACAUUCUUAACUAUUUGAUGUUCAAGAAUUUAAUAAACAAAAUGCAUUUUUUUCCCAUGAUCUCCGUUACCUCUUAUCUCUCUAUUGGUUCUUAGUUUUAAACUCAGAUUUGUCAUACUACAAAACAUCAUUAAUACCGCAAAAAUUCAUAUUAUAUGAAUGUCUACUGUACAUAUGGUCUGGUGGUCUGACUUCCAAGUAGCCUUUUGCUGUUUACUAAAGCCAGGGUCCUUUCUCUGAGUACAUUUACUGUAGAUUUUGACUGAUACAGACAACAUGGCUGAGAGAUAAGACAAACCUGGUGCAAUAAACCUGUGCUGGCUGAAAAGUAGCAAUGGCAUUUUGAAAUGUACAGUUGAAGUCGGAAGUUUACAUACACCUUAGCCAAAUACAUCUAAACUCAGUUUUUCACAAUUCCUGACAUUUAAUCAUAGUAAAAGUUCCCGGUCUUAGGAUCACCACUUUAUUUUAAGAAUGUGAAAUGUCAUAAUAAUAGUAGAGAGAAUGAUUUAUUUCAGCUUAUAUUUCUUUCAUCACAUUCCCAGUGGAUCAGAAGUUUACAUACACUCAAUUAGUAUUUGGUAGCAUUGCCUUUAAAUUGUUAAACUUGGGUCAAACAUUUUUUCACACGCUUUUUCAGUUCUGCCCACACAUUUUCUAUAGGAUUGAGGUCAGGGCUUUGUGAUGGCCAGUCUAAUACCUUGACUUUGUUGUCCUUAAACCAUUUUGUCACAACUUUGUAAGUAUGCUUGGGGUCAUUGUUCAUUUGGAAGAGCAAUUUGCGACCAAGCUUUAGCUUCCUGACUGAUGUCUUGAGAUGGUCAGUAUAUCCACAUCAUUUUCCAUCCUCGUGAUGCCAUCUAUUUUGUGAAGUGCACCAGGCCCUCCUGCAGCAAAGCACAACAUGAUACUGCCACCCCCGUGCUUCACGGUUGGGAUGGAGUUCUUCGCCUUUUUCCUCCAAACAUAAUGAUGGUUAUUAUGGCCAAACAGUUUUAUUUUUGUUUCAUCAGACCAGAGGACAUUUCUACAAAAAGUACGAUCUUUGUCCCCAUGUGCAGUUUCAAACCGUAGUCUGUUUUUUUUUAUGGCAGUUUUGGAGCAGUGGCUUCUUCCUUGCUGAGCUGCAUUUCAGGUUAUGUCAACAUAGAACUAGUUUUACUGUGAAUAUAGAUACUUUUGUACCUGUUUCGUCCAGCAUCUUCACAAGGUCAUUUGCUGUUGUUCUGGGAUUGAUUUUCACUUUUCGCACCAAAGUACGCUCAUCUCUAGGAGACAGAAUGCGUCUCCUUCCUGAACGGUAUGACGGCUGCGUUGUCCCAUGAUGUUUAUACUUGCGUACUAUUGUUGGUACAGAUGAACGUGGUACCUUCAGGCGUUUGGAAAUUGCUCCAAAGGAUGAACCAGACUUGUGGAGGUCAGCUAUUUAUUUUCUGAGUUUUUGGCUAACUUCUCUUGAUUUUCCCAUGAUGUCAAGCAAAGAGUUUGAAGGUAGGCCUUGAAAUACAUCCACAGGUACACCUCCAAUUGACUCAAAUUAUGUCAAUAAGCCUAUCAGAAGCUUCUAAAGCCAUGACAUCAUUUUCUGGAAUUUUCCAAGCUGUUUAAAUGCACAGUCAACUUAGUGUAUUUUAACUUCUGACCCACUGGAAUUGUGACACAGUGAACUAUAAGUGAAAUAAUCUGUCUGGAAACAAUUGUUGGAAAAAUUACUUGUGUCUUGCACAAAGUAGAUGUCCUAACCGACUUGCCAAAACUACAGUUUGUUAACAGGAAAUUUGUGGAGUGGUUGACAAACGAGUUUUAAUGACUCCAACCUAAGUGUAUGUAAACUUCUGACUUCAACUUUGUAACAAAAAGAGAUUCAGGUUUGUACUUGCAAUGUGCGUAAAAGCUCAGUAUUAAGAGUUGUUAGAUGUUUUUUUGUCCGAAUUUCGUCUUGAUAUCAGUGCACUGUAGCUAAUCAUUAUCCCAGGUAAAGGGAAAUGUAGCUGUUUCUUAUCUCACAGCACACACAUUGACCAGCAAACAGACUCUGAUGUUAAACGUGGGUUGACUUUCACUUUAUUCUCUUUCUCUGUAGCUUGGUUUCGUGAACUUACUGGACUACCCAGAACCGGACGUGUGCCUAAGGACGUCCAAAUUCAAUAAAAUCUAACAGAAAACAUGACCAUUGGCUGGACAAUCCUGGACUUUGACAGACUGGCAGUUUAAGAAAAGACAUGGGGCAUAUGAAGAUUGGCGGGACUGGUCCAGGUUGGCUUUCUUUGCCACUGUUCUGUGAGUGCUACGUGCGCUACAAACCAGGCUGCCUGUGCCAGCAGCCGCUGAGAGGGAGCCAUCCGCCGUCACGCUGUGAGAUAUGACCUAAAGAAGGCAUUAGUUCAGCACCAUGGCAUUUUGCUUCAAAUGGAGAGGCGAAGAUAACAGGGAAUGUCUCUGACAUAACUACAUGACGAGGAAAUCAACAAUAUCCCCUGGCACACGACAGCCAUACAUAAAUUAGAAUCCCAAUCUAAUUCACUGUCUAUGGCAUACACACAAUACUGAACUUGCAGAGAUCUUCAUGUGGACUUGUAUCCUAAAUGAAUGCAUCAAAGAGAAGGCUGCUUGCAGAAUUGUCAUGUUCAACUCAAUUAUAAUUACAGCUUUUUUGGAGAAUGGCAUGAGAAAUAAUUAGCCUAGUGUUUACAGGCAGAAGAGCGGCAGGCAGAUCCAAAAUGUAUUCAGACACCUCCCUGAUGGGGCUCCCGCUCCUUUAUAAGUUAGCCAGUUCAGAUUGUAAAUGUCUGUGAGAAAUCCAAUUCUGUGACCUUACAAAAUCAUCGUGGGGGACAGCGGGAGAGAAUAAUUGAUUGCUAGAUUUUGGUUGAUCAUUUCCCAAACCUUGGAUUUAGCACUCAGGGAAUUGAGAGGUGAGGCAUAAGACACAUUGCAGUAAAUAAUGCUUUUCCCCGGUGCAAGGGGUGGGUCAAGCUGUGAUGUUUCAUUUAUUAUAGUUUCCCUCUCAAAAUGUUAUAGAAAAUCUAUUUUCCAAUAUAAUGUUGAAGGAUAACUGAAGAGACAUGGUUUCAUGAUUCUAAUAUCAGUUCUGUGGUCAAUACGAUCUGACUCUCAAUGUAGACCGUCACUAGUUGAUUUAGGUACUGUAACAGUGACUGUCCGUCAUCUCACAAAGGUUCCUCAUUCAUGAUGUGCAGCAGCAAAACUAUAGGUGAUAGAGAACUUUCUUUCUUUUUUAAACGGUUUUCAUUGCCGCCUAAGAGCAACAAAGGCAAAACAAUGGACAAGCCUUGAGACAUGAAAUUUGAGAGACAAAAUCACGUACAGUAAUUUUCCUAAAAGGUAGGCUAUUGUCCUCCCGUUCUAAAAGGCACAAAUUCCAUAUCUGUUAUCCUGUCUAAUUUGAAAUAAACCGUUUACACAGUGUAAAUAUUUUUGUUGAGAGCCUCUCAUUCUUUGAGGUUUUUCUUUAAACGGAAAGUGUCACAUAAACAGUGUCUCUCAGUAAGUAACCAUACAGCAUGCUAGGAUGGAGACGGAGACCGGGCUAACUGAUAAUUCCAGCAGGCAGCAGAACAUAUCUACACUAGCUGCUUGUUUUCUUUUUUGCUCAUCAUUUGAGAUCUCCAUUGUGUUAAUUAGCCCACAUUUAAUCAUGUCAUUUGAGUGUGAUUACAUGGAAGUUCGACGCUUCAGAGGCGUAUGCUCAUUUCAGAUCUCGGCUGAUAUUUAUAAUCCUCACGUCCUCUUUUAUGAGAGAGAUGCCUUCAAUUUAACAGAUGGCCAAAUAAAUACUGUACCAUUCCCAUCCAUUUCAGUGGAAUGGUUUCCCUUUCUCACAUACUAUAGGUGUGCAUGGCAUGUGCAGUACCAGUUAAAAGUUUGGACACACCUAUUCAUUAAACAGGUUUUCUUUAUUUUUCUACUAUUUCCUACAUUGUACAAUAAUAGUGAAGACAUCAAUACUAUGAAAUAACACAUGAAUCAUGUAGUAACCAAAAAAUAAGAAUGGCGCCUGAGAGGAUGACUGCGUUUUUAUUGGCUCUUAACCAACCGUGCUAUUUUGUUUGUUUUUAAGCAUUUCAACUCGAAGGUGUAGACCUGUUGUAAGCGGCGCAUGUGACAAAUAAAAUUCAUUAGAUUUGAUUUGAAAAGUGUUAAACAAAUCAAAAUUGAUUUUAGAUUUUAGAUUCUUCAAAGCAGCCACCCUUUGUCUUGAUGACAGCUUUGCACACGCUUGGCAUUCUCUCGACCAGCUUAAUGAGGAAUUAUUUUCCAACAGUCUUGAAGAAGUUCCCACAUAUGCUGAGCACUUGUUGUCGGCUUUUCCUUCACUCUGCAGUCCAAGUCAUCCCAAACCGUCUAAAUUGGGUUGAGGUUGGGUGAUUGUGGAGGCCAGGUCAUCUGAUGCCCUUACACAGCCCGGAGGUCUGUUUUGGGUCAUUGUCCUGUUGAAAAACUGAUGAUAGUCCCACUAAGCGCAAACCAGAUGGGAUGGCGUAUCUUUGCAGAAUUCUGUGGUCGCCAUGCUGGUUAAGUGUGCAUUGAAUUUUAAAUAAAUCACCGACAGUGUCACCAGCAAAGCACCCCAAACCAUCACUCCUCCUCCUCCAUGCUUCACGGUGGGAACCACGCAGGCAGAGAUCAUCACCGACUCUGCGUAUCACAAAUACAUGGCGGUUGGAAUCAAAAAUCUCACAUUUGGACUCAUCAGACCAAAGGACAGAUUUCCACUGUUCUAAUGUCCAUUGCUUGUGUUUCUUGGCCCAAGCAAGUCUCUUCUUCUUAUUGGUGUCCUUUAGUAGUGGUUUCUUUGCAGCAAUUUGUACCAUGAAGGCCUGAUUCACGCAGUCUCCUCUGAACAGUUGAUGUUGAGACGUGUCUAUUACUUGAACUCUGUGAAGCAUUUAUUUGGGCUACAAUCUGAGAUGCAGUUAAGUUUAAUAAACUAAUGCUCUGCAGCAGAGGUAACCCUGGGUCUUCCUUUCCUGUGGCGGACUACAUGAGAGCCAGUUUCAUCAUAGCACUUGAUGGGUUUUGCGACUGCACUUUCAAAGUUCUUGACAUUUUACGGAUUGACUUACCUUCAUGUUUUAAAUUGUAAUGAUGGACUGUCGUUUCUCUUUGCUCACUUGAGCUGUUCUUGCCAUAUGGUAUUUUACCAAAUAGGGCUAUCAUCUGUAUACCACCCCUACCUUGUCACAACACAACUAAUUGGCUCAAACGCAUUAAGGAAAGAAAUUCCACAAAUUAACUUUUAACAAGGCACACCUGUUAAUUGAAAUGCAUUCCAGGUGACUACCUCAUGAAGCUGGUUGAGAGAAUGCCAUGAGUGUGAAAAAAUGUCAUCAAGGCAAAGGGUUUGAAGAAUCACAAAUAUAAGAUAUAUUUUGAUUUGUUUAAAACUUUUUUUUACGACAUGAUUCCAUGUGUUACUUCCUAGUUUUGAUGUCUUCACUAUUAUUAUACAAUAUAGAAAAUUUUUUUUUUUUUAAAGGAAAUCCCUUAAAUCAGUAGGUGUCUCCAAAGGUUUCACUGGUUCUUAUAUUGUACUGUGAAAUAUAUGCAUUUUAUUAGAUUUGAAAUGAUGAUUAAAUUAUAUAUUACCCCUUUUGAUUAGCUGAUGAAAUCUGAUUAGCUAUUUUGAUUAUGAAGUUAAUCAGAGAAGCAGCUCAGCGCUUAUUCCUGUAUUCCCAUAUCCGCAGAUCUUAGAAUGAGCAAUAAGUGUGUCUCUUACCGACAGCCUUGAGGGAGGCGUACUUAUUGAGCUCUUUCCCAGGUUGCUGUUGCUCAUAGGGGCUAGGGAUCUGUCC
Molecule: long non-coding RNA, 5841 nt
Organism: Oncorhynchus keta (chum salmon)
Lineage: Eukaryota; Metazoa; Chordata; Actinopteri; Salmoniformes; Salmonidae
Exons: 3
Source: RefSeq, a predicted model, not a curated record